GAAAAGCAGCGGAGUGGUUAACGCGCUGGCCUGCUAAGCCAGUCUCUUCGGAGGCGAGAGUUCGAAUCUCUCAGGUGUCGCGCUUCUCU
This 89-nucleotide transfer RNA is filed under the name Pseudocercospora fijiensis CIRAD86. RNAcentral's name for it is "tRNA-Ser (GCT) (tRNA-Ser-GCT-1-1)". The stretch from base 8 to 72 matches the Rfam family "tRNA", at positions 9 to 63 of the family's 71-position model. From Rfam's summary of the family: Transfer RNA (tRNA) molecules are approximately 80 nucleotides in length. Their secondary structure includes four short double-helical elements and three loops (D, anti-codon, and T loops). Lineage: Eukaryota; Fungi; Ascomycota; Dothideomycetes; Mycosphaerellales; Mycosphaerellaceae. The record is from RNAcentral.